Long non-coding RNA from Erinaceus europaeus (western European hedgehog), 793 nucleotides. RefSeq lists it as uncharacterized. The transcript is spliced from 2 exons. The record is from RefSeq and is a predicted model, not a curated record. Lineage: Eukaryota; Metazoa; Chordata; Mammalia; Eulipotyphla; Erinaceidae.
UCACCUCUGGUGCGGCAGGUGCCCCCUCACCUGUGGAGCGGCAGGUGCCCCCUCACCUGUGGAGCGGCAGGUGCCCCCUCAUCUGUGGAGCGGCAGGUGCCCCCUCACCUGUGGAGCGGCAGGUGCCCCCUCACCUGUGGAGCAGGAGGUGCCCCCUCACCUGUGGAGCAGGAGGUGCCCCCUCACCUGUGGAGCAGGAGGUGCCCCCCCAGCACAGGAGAAAGUGUUCACCCACCUAUCCUGCAAGACAGCUUUUGUCACUCCAGAAAGCUCAAGGGAGACGCUUAACAGUGAUGCAAAGGACCGUCCCAGGUUCAAUCCCCAGCACCAGCACCAGCAGAGCUGAGCAAGGAGAACACAUUACCUGGCCAAGAGCCCCCACAAUUUUUCCUAAAGACUGUUUAUCCAUUCGUUUUAUUUAUUUAUUCCGGGCUACUGCUGAGAUCUGGACGAUGCUGGGCUUGGAGACUGAGUCUCAGGCGUGAAAGGCUUCCUGCAUAAUCAUUCAGCUGUGCCCCGCCUGUGAAUAUUUCACCUUUCCUUCUUCUUAUUACAAACAUUUGUGUUAUUCUCAGUGAGAAGAUUGAGAGCACCACUCUGCUUCAACAGGUGCAGUGGCAGGGGAUGGGACAUGGAACCCAUGCUUGCAAGCCCUGCACUCUGCUGCCCAGCAAACUCCUCCUCCUGUUCCAUAUUUUUGAAUUUGAAAAAAUGGCCUUUCCGUCGCUGACGCUGCCGAGAUGCGCGUCCCCUCCUACCUGCUGGCCACCCUGGGGGCCACACAUCCCCCAGC